Molecule: ribosomal RNA, 709 nt
Filed under: uncultured archaeon
Lineage: Archaea
Description: bacterial SSU rRNA
Rfam family: Archaeal small subunit ribosomal RNA
Source: RNAcentral
AGCCAUGCGAGUCGAGAGACUUCGGGUCUCGGCAGACGUCUCAGUAACACGCGGAUAAUCUACCCUUGAGUGGGGGAUAAGCUCGGAAACCUGAGUAUAAUACCCCAUAGGCCUAGGAUGCUGGAAUGCUUCUAGGCUGAAAGCUCCGGCGCUCAAGGAUGAGUCUGUGGCCUAUCAGGCUGUAGUGGGUGUAACGGACCCACUAACCCUCGACGGGUACGGGCCUUGAGAGAGGUUGCCCGGAGUUGGACUCUGAGACAUGAGUCCAGGCCCUACGGGGUGCAGCAGGCGCGAAAACUUCACAAUGUGGGAAACCACGAUGAGGGGAUUCCAAGUGCCAGCACACUGUGUUGGCUGUUCACCUGCCUAAAAAGCUGGUGAAGUAAGGGCCGGGUAAGACGGGUGCCAGCCGCCGCGGUAAUACCCGCGGCCCGAGUGGUGGUCGUUGUUAUUGAGCCUAAAGCGUCCGUAGCCGGUCCAGUAAAUCUCUGGGUAAAUCGGGCAGCUUAACUGUCCGAAUUCCGGAAAGACUGCUGGACUUGGGACCGGGGGAGGUUGGAGGUACUCCUGGGGUAGGGGUGAAAUCCUGUAAUCCUGGGGGGACCACCAGUGGCGAAGGCGUCCAACCAAAACGGCUCCGACGGUAAGGGACGAAGCCCUGGGGCGCAAACGGGAUUAGAUACCCCGGUAGUCCAGGGUGUAAACGCUG